This 365-nucleotide ribosomal RNA is filed under the name uncultured bacterium. Its description in RNAcentral is "bacterial SSU rRNA". It matches the Rfam family "Bacterial small subunit ribosomal RNA", at positions 1027 to 1392 of the family's 1533-position model. The record is from RNAcentral.
CCGUGAGACAGGUGCUGCAUGGCUGUCGUCAGCUCGUGUUGUGAAAUGUUGGGUUAAGUCCCGCAACGAGCGCAACCCUUAUCCUUUGUUGCCAGCGGUCCGGCCGGGAACUCAAAGGAGACUGCCAGUGAUAAACUGGAGGAAGGUGGGGAUGACGUCAAGUCAUCAUGGCCCUUACGACCAGGGCUACACACGUGCUACAAUGGCGCAUACAAAGAGAAGCGACCUCGCGAGAGCAAGCGGACCUCAUAAAGUGCGUCGUAGUCCGGAUUGGAGUCUGCAACUCGACUCCAUGAAGUCGGAAUCGCUAGUAAUCGUGGAUCAGAAUGCCACGGUGAAUACGUUCCCGGGCCUUGUACACACCG